AUGAAUAUUCUGAAUGGGAGGGACAUGGAGAGGUCUGUGUAUGCUUCUUUGGUGGCGGAGAUCAAGCAUUUGAAGUCUCUUUGUAUGGCCCGUAUUACUCAUAUCAGCUGUUGUCAAAAUGUAGUUAGUGAUAUUUUAGCAAGUUUCGCAAAAACUGAAAGGAGAACUAUAGUCUGGCUCGGCUCCGCCCCCUCGAGGUCGUUGAUUUGUGUAAGGACGAGUGCAAGGUUGCUGCUUGAGUAA
This 243-nucleotide ribosomal RNA is filed under the name Triticum aestivum (bread wheat). RNAcentral's name for it is "partial small subunit ribosomal RNA". Lineage: Eukaryota; Viridiplantae; Streptophyta; Magnoliopsida; Poales; Poaceae. The record is from RNAcentral.